This is a non-coding RNA of Podarcis lilfordi (Lilford's wall lizard), 77 nucleotides long. Lineage: Eukaryota; Metazoa; Chordata; Lepidosauria; Squamata; Lacertidae. The record is from the annotation of a GenBank genome assembly.
UCCUGACUGAGAUAGCUCAGUCGGCACACGGUGAGACUUUUAAUCUCGGGUCGCGAGUUCGAGUCCCGCGUUGGGCA